GACGAACGCUGGCGGCGUGCUUAACACAUGCAAGUCGAACGGAAAGGCCUUUUCGGAGGUACUCGAGUGGCGAACGGGUGAGUAACACGUGGGUGAUCUGCCCUGCACUCUGGGAUAAGCCUGGGAAACUGGGUCUAAUACCGGAUAGGACCGCACUUUAGUGUGUGUGGUGGAAAGUUUUUUCGGUGUAGGAUGAGCCCGCGGCCUAUCAGCUUGUUGGUGGGGUAAUGGCCUACCAAGGCGGCGACGGGUAGCCGGACUGAGAGGUUGGUCGGCCACAUUGGGACUGAGAUACGGCCCAGACUCCUACGGGAGGCAGCAGUGGGGAAGAUUGCACAAUGGGCGCAAGCCUGAUGCAGCGACGCCGCGUGGGGGAUGACGGCCUUCGGGUUGUAAACUCCUUUCGCCAGGGACGAAGCGUUUUGUGACGGCACCUGGAGAAGAAGCACCGGCUAACUACGUG
This 463-nucleotide ribosomal RNA is filed under the name uncultured bacterium. RNAcentral describes it as "partial 16S ribosomal RNA". It matches the Rfam family "Bacterial small subunit ribosomal RNA", at positions 28 to 507 of the family's 1533-position model. The record is from RNAcentral.